AUUGAACGCUGGCGGCAGGCCUAACACAUGCAAGUCGAGCGGAUGAAGGGAGCUUGCUCCUGGAUUCAGCGGCGGACGGGUGAGUAAUGCCUAGGAAUCUGCCUGGUAGUGGGGGAUAACGUCCGGAAACGGGCGCUAAUACCGCAUACGUCCUGAGGGAGAAAGUGGGGGAUCUUCGGACCUCACGCUAUCAGAUGAGCCUAGGUCGGAUUAGCUAGUUGGUGGGGUAAAGGCCUACCAAGGCGACGAUCCGUAACUGGUCUGAGAGGAUGAUCAGUCAAACGGGAACCGAGGAGCGGUCCAGACUCCUACGGGAGGCAGCAGUGGGGAAUAUUGGACAAUGGGCGAAAGCCUGAUCCAGCCAUGCCACGUGUGUGAAGAAGGUCUUCGGAUUGUAAAGCACUUUAAGUUGGGAGGAAGGGCAGUAAGUUAAUACCUUGCUGUUUUGACGUUACCGACAGAAGAAGCACCGGCUAACUUCGUG
Molecule: ribosomal RNA, 484 nt
Filed under: uncultured bacterium
Lineage: Bacteria
Description: partial 16S ribosomal RNA
Rfam family: Bacterial small subunit ribosomal RNA
Source: RNAcentral